UGGCUCAGAACGAACGCUGGCGGCAUGGAUUAGGCAUGCAAGUCGAACGGUGUAGCAAUACACAGUGGCGGAAGGGUGAGGAACACGUGAAUAAUCUGACCCUCAAGUUGGGAAUAACUUUCCGAAAGGAAAGCUAAUACCGAAUGUGGUUGUUUUAUCGCAUGAUAGGACAACUAAAGAUUUAUCGCUUGAGGAUGAGUUCGCGUCCCAUUAGCUAGUUGGCGGGUAACGGCCCACCAAGGCAGAGAUGGGUAGCUGGUCUGAGAGGAUGAUCAGCCACACUGGGACUGAGACACUGCCCAGACUCCUACGGGAGGCUGCAGUCGAGAAUCUUUUGCAAUGCGCGAAAGCGUGAACCAAAGCAAUGCCGCGUGCCGGAUGAAGGUCUUCGGAUUGUAAACGGCUGUCACUCGGGACGAAAAAUGACGGUACCGAGGGAGGAAGCCACGGCUAACUACGUGCCAGCCGCAGC
Molecule: ribosomal RNA, 472 nt
Filed under: uncultured bacterium
Lineage: Bacteria
Description: bacterial SSU rRNA
Rfam family: Bacterial small subunit ribosomal RNA
Source: RNAcentral